AGAGUUUGAUCCUGGCUCAGGAUGAACGCUGGCGGCGUGCCUAAUACAUGCAAGUCGAACGAAGAUCUUAGGGAAUAAGCUUGCUUAGGAAUUUUGAUCUUAGUGGCGGACUGGUGAGUAACACGUGAGCAACCUGGCUUUCAGAGGGGGACAACGGUUGGAAACGACCGCUAAUACCGCAUGACAUAGUUUUAAGGCAUCUUGAAACUAUCAAAGGAGCAAUCCGCUGAAAGAUGGGCUCGCGUCUGAUUAGAUAGUUGGUGAGGUAACGGCUCACCAAGUCGACGAUCAGUAGCCGGACUGAGAGGUUGAACGGCCACAUUGGGACUGAGAUACGGCCCAGACUCCUACGGGAGGCAGCAGUAGGGAAUAUUGCACAAUGGAGGAAACUCUGAUGCAGCAACGCCGCGUGAAGGAAGACGGUUUUCGGAUUGUAAACUUCUUUUCCCAAAGAAGAAAAAAAUGACGGUAUUUGGGGAAUAAGCAUCGGCUAACUACGUGCCAGCAGCCGCGGUAAUACGUAGGAUGCAAGCGUUAUCCGGAUUUACUGGGUGUAAAGGGUGCGUAGGCGGACUUUCAAGUUGGAUGUGAAAACCGGGGCUUAACCCGUGAUUGCAUCCAAAACUGUAGGUCUUGAUUGGAGUAGAGGUAAGUGGAAUUCCGAGUGUAGCGGUGAAAUGCGCAGAUAUUCGGAAGAACACCGGUGGCGAAGGCGACUUACUGGGCUCUAAAUGACGCUGAGGCACGAAAGUGUGGGGAGCAAACAGGAUUAGAUACCCUGGUAGUCCACACUGUAAACGAUGAUAGCUAGGUGUAGGGGGUCUGACCCCCUCUGUGCCGGAGUUAACGCAAUAAGCUAUCCACCUGGGGAGUACGAUCGCAAGAUUGAAACUCAAAGGAAUUGACGGGGACCCGCACAAGCAGUGGAUUAUGUGGUUUAAUUCGAAGCAACGCGAAGAACCUUACCGAGUCUUGACAUUUAACUAACGAAGCAGAGAUGCAUUAGGUGCCCUUCGGGGAAAGUUAAAACAGGUGGUGCAUGGUUGUCGUCAGCUCGUGCCGUGAGGUGUUGGCUUAAGUGCCGCAACGAGCGCAACCCCUGCCAUUAGUUGCUACGCAAGAGCACUCUAAUGGGACCGCCGAUGACAAAUCGGAGGAAGGUGGGGAUGACGUCAAAUCAUCAUGCCCCUUAUGACUCGGGCCACACACGUAAUACAAUGGUCGUUAACAGAGGGAAGCAAGGGAGCGAUCCGGAGCCGAACCCUAAAAACGAUCUCAGUUCGGACUGUAGGCUGAAACUCGCCUGCACGAAGUUGGAAUUGCUAGUAAUCGCGGAUCAGCAUGCCGCGGUGAAUACGUUCCCGGGUCUUGUACACACCGCCCGUCACACCAUGGGAGUUUGUAACACCCGAAGUCGGUGACCCAACAGUAAUGAGGGAGCCGCCGAAGGUGGGAUAAGCGACUGGGGUGAAGUCGUAACAAGGCAGCCGUAGGAGAACCUGCGGCUGGAUCACCUCCUU
Molecule: ribosomal RNA, 1520 nt
Filed under: uncultured bacterium
Lineage: Bacteria
Description: 16S ribosomal RNA
Rfam family: Bacterial small subunit ribosomal RNA
Source: RNAcentral